This 253-nucleotide ribosomal RNA is filed under the name uncultured bacterium. RNAcentral's name for it is "partial 16S ribosomal RNA". It matches the Rfam family "Bacterial small subunit ribosomal RNA", at positions 524 to 776 of the family's 1533-position model. The record is from RNAcentral.
UACGAAGGGGGCUAGCGUUGCUCGGAAUGACUGGGCGUAAAGGGCGCGUAGGCGGAUAUCUUUGUCGGGCGUGAAAUUCCAGGGCUUAACCUUGGGUCUGCGUUCGAGACGGGGUAUCUUGAGUGCGGUAGGGGAGAUUGGAAUUCCUGGUGUAGCGGUGGAAUGCGCAGAUAUCAGGAGGAACACCGAUGGCGAAGGCAGAUCUCUGGGCCGAUACUGACGCUGAGGCACGAAAGCGUGGGGAGCAAACAGG